AUUCAGAUGUUUGAGAUUCUAAAGCUAUAGAGUUCCAUCCCUCGGUUCAGUUCAGUUCAUUUGCUCAGUCGUGUCCAACUCUUUUUGGCCCCAUGGACUACAGCAUGCCAGGCUUCCCUGUCCAUCACCAACUCCUGGAGUUUGCUCAGAUUCAUGUCCAUCAAGCAGACAGUCAUGUCUGACUCUCUGCGACCCCAUGGACUAUAGCCUGCCAGGCUCGAGGAGACCAAAAAGAAUAUGUACCUCAAGACCUACGCUGAAAUGUCCAGGGUCAUUGUUAGGAAGCAGGGUUGAAGCUCCAAUACUUUGGCCAACUGAUGCAAAGAGGCAACUCAUUGGAAAAGACCCUGAUGCUGGGAAAAGAUAGAAGGCAGGAGGAG
Molecule: long non-coding RNA, 380 nt
Organism: Bos taurus (domestic cattle)
Lineage: Eukaryota; Metazoa; Chordata; Mammalia; Artiodactyla; Bovidae
Source: Ensembl